This 253-nucleotide ribosomal RNA is filed under the name uncultured bacterium. RNAcentral describes it as "partial 16S ribosomal RNA". It matches the Rfam family "Bacterial small subunit ribosomal RNA", at positions 524 to 776 of the family's 1533-position model. The record is from RNAcentral.
UACGUAGGGUGCAAGCGUUGUCCGGAAUUAUUGGGCGUAAAGAGCUCGUAGGCGGUUUGUCGCGUCUGCUGUGAAAACGCGAGGCUCAACCUCGCGCCUGCAGUGGGUACGGGCAGACUAGAGUGCGGUAGGGGAGAUUGGAAUUCCUGGUGUAGCUGUGGAAUGCGCAGAUAUCAGGAGGAACACCGAUGGCGAAGGCAGAUCUCUGGGCCGUAACUGACGCUGAGGAGCGAAAGCGUGGGGAGCGAACAGG